CCCAUGCAGUAGUAGCAGGGUUAUGUAAAAGAACAGAAAAUGUUGCCCUUCAACAAGUAGCUGUUAACAGAGAAUAUUACAAAAAACAAAAUCCAUCUGUACCUAGGCUGAAGCUGGACUGAGACCCACCUUAAGUGAAACAACAUUAAUGAUCAACUCACGCUUCUAAGGGCAGAGUCUCUCAAAGAUGUCUUGAAUAUUCUCAGCAAAGAUCCAGGAUCCCAGGAGAUCAUUUGCAGCU
Molecule: non-coding RNA, 241 nt
Organism: Lonchura striata (white-rumped munia)
Lineage: Eukaryota; Metazoa; Chordata; Aves; Passeriformes; Estrildidae
Source: RefSeq, a predicted model, not a curated record